ACGAACGCUGGCCGCGUGCUUAACACAUGCAAGUCGAACGGAAAGGCCCUGCUUUUGUGGGGUGCUCGAGUGGCGAACGGGUGAGUAACACGAGAGUAACCUGCCCUUGACUUUGGGAUAACUUCAGGAAACUGGGGCUAAUACCGGAUAGGAGCUCCUGCUGCAUGGUGGGGGCUGGAAAGCUUCGGCGGAUGGGGAUGGACGCGCGGCUUAUCAGCUUGUUGGUGGGGUAGUGGCUUACCAAGGCUUUGACGGGUAGCCGGCCUGGGAGGGUGACCGGCCACAUUGGGACUGAGAUACGGCCCAGACUCCUACGGGAGGCAGCAGUGGGGAAUAUUGCACAGUGGUCGGAAGCCUGAUGCAGCAACGCCGCGUGCGGGAUGACGGCCUUCGGGUUGUAAACCGCUUUCGCCUGUGACGAAGCGUGAGUGACGGUAAUGGGUAAAGAAGCACCGGCUAACUACGUG
This 467-nucleotide ribosomal RNA is filed under the name uncultured bacterium. RNAcentral describes it as "partial 16S ribosomal RNA". It matches the Rfam family "Bacterial small subunit ribosomal RNA", at positions 29 to 507 of the family's 1533-position model. The record is from RNAcentral.